UGUCUCUUAACCCAUUCUGGUGCCUCCAGGGGGUUGGGAAACCCCCUUUCUUAAAGUAAUCAGGGACCCUCCUAGCCUCCUCAUUAGUGUAGGAAAUGAGUGCCUCUUCUCCAGUCUAUCAGCUCAUCUCAGUAAGUGAGCUUUCCCAAGAGUCUUUGGAAGGGUGGUUGCUCAAAACUCAGAGCAUAUUUAUAUGUAAUAAAUGGUGACAAGGCUCCCAAGUCAGUGCACCAAAGUCCAUUUAACCGAUAAUGUGCCUAAAAUAGUAUUAAUAGUUAGAACAGUCCAGGACAAUGUAAGGUUGCUGAAGACCCUAAAUUCAUCUGAGCCCAGGGUUUUUCAUGCCUCUUUAGUCCUUGGACAGUGACAAGGAUGUAGUAGGAAAUAACAAUAGCUAGUAUUUAUUGGGCAUUUGCCAAGUGCUUGAAACUACAUGCAUUUGACCUUCGCAGCAGCUCUAGACAAUAAGUAUGAAAAUUAACCUCCAGAAACGGAGGCCCAGAGAACCUAAGCGACUUCUCAAAGUCAUGGAGGAGACAAGCAAUAGAGGCAGGAACAGAGCCCAGGAGUCUGGAUCCAAAACCAGUGUGACUAAGAAGUGUGCUGUAUUUCCCAGUAGGCCUUAUCUGCUGUCUUAGGGUUGGGGAGAAAGCCCAUGGGAGCUCUACCUUGCAGGCAGCCACCAUGUGCGCAGGGAAAUUCCACAAGCAAGCAGUGGGGAAUGGGUGGAAGGGAGCCCAGGGGAAUCCCUCCACAAAGGUGGGAAGAGUUUUACAACCACACAAGCUCUGGUGCUUUGGGGACAGGGGAGUGUCAGUGUGAUAGCCAUAGGAGAUGAUGGAGCUGCUUGUACUGGAGAGAACAGGUUGGUCUUUUCUUCACAGUUUCUAAUGCUGCUCUGAGCCAUGGUCUUGGGCAAGUUGGGUUACUGCUCUAUAAAAUAAGCACUGUAACAGUUCUCACCUCUAGGGUCUUUAUGGGGAUUAAAUGAGAUAAGUCACCAGUACUCUGCACAGUGCCUGGCACCCACUGCACAGUGCCUUGCACGCACAUUAUAUGCAUGUGUCUUCAUAUAAUUAUAACCAUUAUCACUACAACAGGAUAUCAUCCGACUCUGAAGAAAGCCAAAACCCACUGGAAAGUCCUUCUCAAUAGACAAUGAAUGAAGUACACCAAGCACUUUGCGGGAUCAUGGAGCCAUAACUACUACAGUGAUGGACACGGAGCCCUUCUUGCAAAGAGCUAUGAAUCUACAGGACCAAACCAUCAGGCAUUGCAGUGAGAUCUAAAUUUCCUGAAUGAAGAGACUAUGAAGACUUAUUUUAGCUUCUCUUCUCCUUGCAUCUGAAAAGAAACUCCUGGCUGGGGCUUCUCCUUCUCGGUUGAAAGUCAUCAGGAAAACCACCUUGGAAAUUUAAGGGUGGGCUGGUGAAUGUAAAAACUGAAUUUGGAGUUGGACGGUCUUAUGAUUGAUGGUCAAAUAUCUAAGAACUUGAAGUUACUUGCUGAAGCUGUGGAAAAACUUGAGCAACUUCCCCUGCCCCAACGCAGACCACACACCCCUCUAUAGUGACAGGGAUAUUUAUGGGGAAAUACACUUCUUGUUCCAGGGUGAUUUUCAGCCUCCCAUUUUGUGAAGGUUUCCUACUGGACUUGCUAGAAAGUAGAAAAUGCUGAGUUGCUACAGUCUACAGUAGUAGGACAUGUCCAGCCGUCCCUGGAGUUCAGUUCAGUUCCACUCAGGCAGAUUUAUUACACUCUGUACACCUACUAAUGAGUGAAAGAGACAGGAUUUCUACCCUCAAGGAGUUCAGAUGAUAGGUAAGGCUGAGGUUCAUACAUACAAUUGCAGUUAUAAUGGAGGCUACACUAUCCACCUUCCCAAGGACUGUAAAAUUCCUGAAAACAAAAGUGAUUUUCAAGAGAUACUGGAAGUCUAUCACUUGGUUCUGCUCUCUGGUUGUUGCCAGGUUCUCGCCAGAUUCUCUGAACAAGCGUCUGACUGGACGUCUCCCUUCAAAAGCUAAUUACUCUGUGAAGAAUGUCACGAUUGUCUCUUAGUAUUGCUUCAUGGCACAUUCCUGGUGAAUUCAUCUCCAGACUAAUCUACCCUCACAACAAGAUACUAUUUCUUUACCAUUCCACAAACCAAAUCCAGAUUUUUCAUUCUGCUCUAUUAUAUAUGAUGAGUUCAGAAUUCUGAGUGAUUUCUGAAGUAUUUUCUCUCUCCUGAGGGCUUCAGAGAGGCAGCUCUGGGACAUGAUUCCGGAGCUUCUGGGAUAAGCAGGUAUUCCUGGGCCUAGGUUGUGAUAUAGUGACAGUUGCUUUGGUUUGCAGUGUCCUGAGGGCCAGCUGACUAGAAGGUUGCAAUCCUUCCAACUAGGGGCACUCGGUUGUCCUUUGAAGUAGAGGAAGGUUUAAGGAAGUGAAAUCCUCUUAUUUUAAGAGCCUAAUCAGGAACUGAGUCAAAACACCAUUUGGCAAUACUUUGAUGCAUGAUUCUCUAAGGCUAACAAAAAAGUUUUGAAGAAACGGAUGAAUAGUUUCUUUUUCCAUCUAGAUAAAUUUUUUAAAAAAUACUGGAGUCAUAGGGCAAACAGCAGAAUACAAGUAUUUAUGACCCUGGAUAUCACAUAUAAAACAAAGUUACUACUGAGGGCAAGGACAUUUCUACCUGGAAGGUCUGAAACAUCACAUGAAUGAGCCAGAACCUGGGCUUUCAUUCUGGCUGCCAGGCCAAUGUAUCAGAUAUUUUAGGGUUCAUUUGAUUUGGUUCAAGCAAAGUGGAAAAAGUCAGGGGUAAAGAUAGAUAUCUUAGGCCCAGAUUAACAGUCUGGAAGCAAAUAUGGGAUUUUCCCUCAUUAUUUGAGAAGAAACCUGAGUAUCCACAAGAAGAAAAAAAAUGAAAGCAUGCUCUUAACCAGAACAGCCGCUGAGAAAGAGCCAGGUGCAAGCUUUGGCGACAAGAUAAGCUUUUUUUCUCUCCUCCUCCACCUGUAUUCUUUCCCAAUGUCUCCACCCCACCCUUCACCCAAACACUUUCCUCCUUCCGUCCCCUUAAAAAUCACCAAAAACACCGGCUAUGAUUAAUGGCUAAGGGAUAAGAACAGAUGUGCAAUCCUCAUACAUUCUUGGUUUGGAUCAAACUGACUCUUCUGAACUCCCCUUUCUAAAACUCCCCAUAAUGCUUUGCCAUCAGCCUCCCUCCUCCCCUUUCCUCUCUGAAGCAUGCUAAUUAAAGUUCCACCAGUGAAGGACUUGAGCUGGCUCUCUCUGCCGGAUCCCUAACUGUGUCAUGCCCCUGCUUCCUAAUUGGACAUGCCAGCAGAAAUCAGUGCAAAGCGACUUCUGUGGGAGCAGCUGCUGAGGCUGUUCCCCGACCCCCAUGCUCAUCACCCCUCCUCCGAUGAGGAUAUUUUUCUGUCGUCACACCUUGGGCAGUAUUUCAGAAGCUUACUUAUCCUGCCGCUCACUUUCUCUACCCCUACACCUCUGCCCCCAAACAAGACAGUAGGAGAGAAACAUGAGAUUUGAUUUUAUCCUAAUUGAACAAUAGCCCUUAUUUCAUCUCAAGUAAGAUAAAUGGGCUGUCCAACCUCACUCCUCACUUUGUCUGUAAUGAGGCUUCCCUCUCAACUGUUUACUAAAGUAUUAAAAAGCACUUUGCAGCACCUGCUGGUAUCGUCCGUCAAAGAGAGUCAAUGGUACAGAUGAAGACAUAUGAGAAAGGCGGAGAGAUAUGGGGCCUUUAUGAAACUUCAGAUUCCAGACCUAUUAGAAAGAACUGCUUCCCUCUCUAUGAAUUCAGUGGGGAGGGGGUUGGGGAAGGCCCUUUUCUUCUUGGCAGCAAAGUGCUUUCUAUAGGGCAGGACAGCACUUGGCAGGUUUUCCCAGGGUCAGACCAAGGUGGGUAACUGAUUGCAGCCAUUAAUGUCCAGGUGGUAAGAAAUUGCCUAAAUUCCGAGAUCCUAAUAAGUCAUUAGCAUUUCUAUACUGAAUGCACUUGUGUGGACCCUUCCCUCACCCACGGUGAUAAAACACAUGUCUGUUCCUGCUCAUGCUCUAUCUCCGGCUGUUCUUUGAAGAGAUGAGCACUUUCAGAAGUUGAUUGCUGCAACGGUGAGUACCCCAGGAUUGGGAGCCUGGAGAACAGCACCCACGAGGGUUUUGACACUGAAUGCUGUGUGACCUUACACGAGGAACUAAACUUCCCUGCUACAUAAUUUCUUCCCUUACAAUAUAAAGAGGCAACGUGUUCUACUGCUAAGUAUUCUGGUACAGGUAAUGAAAAACCAUCUGUUUGAUGUACUGAGAUUUUUCGGUAAGAAUUAAGUGUGGAUGUUUGAUUGGGUUACAGCCACAGUCCUGUUCGAAGCUUGCAUUCAACAAUUUGGGAGCCUACUGCGCACAUACAUGAGGCAGAAAGGAAGAUAAGACAUAGAAACGUACAAAGUGAAAAUAAAAAGCACAGCUAUACUAGUCAAGUGUCUCGUCUAAGAGCCCACCGAUACCUCUUCCUGAUGGCCUCUCAAGUAACUAAACUGUUCGUCCCAUAACAGAGCAAGCCUUUGUCACCUUGUACUGUCGGCUGCCUUUAUACUUUAUAGUCCCCCCUGCUUGUCUGGUAGCUUCAAAAAGAAAGGACUGUGUCCUAUUCAUUUCUUUGUCCUGCAAGCUGGCAGACAUGCAAAGUUUGUUCAUAAGUAAAUGGAUGGAGUGAAUAAAUAAGUAUCA
Molecule: long non-coding RNA, 4734 nt
Organism: Canis lupus familiaris (dog)
Lineage: Eukaryota; Metazoa; Chordata; Mammalia; Carnivora; Canidae
Exons: 3
Source: RefSeq, a predicted model, not a curated record